GUGCUGGUUACAGUAGCUAAGAGGAUGGAACCGCAGGCCAAUUUGUCACACAAACAAAUUUAAAUGUGGACCGAGGGGUUUGCCCACCUUAUGAUGAGUGGUUGAUUUGUGGCCAAAAACACAAAACAAAAACAAAAACAAGAGGUGGGGUUGAUGAGGUCUGGGGAACAAGAGUUGCAGUUUCGAAACAGAGUGGAGGCUCCUUUAAUCUUGACAGCCAGAAUGCUACAGGGGUCACAGCACAUCUGCUCCGGAGGAAAGACAAAGGGCAAGAACAUCUCAGGAUGGGGCAAUAUUUUGUGAGAACAUAUUGGAUUCUACCAAAUUACAAAUAUGUUCCAGUGCUGGGCUGGAGAAGGCAGGGGCCUUGGCUCUUCCACGGUGGCUGUUCAUCAGCACUCAUACAUCCACUAUACGGGUUUAGUCGCACACUGGAAGGCUGCUUUCUCCUGCUGCUUACAAAACAAACUAACAAAUAAACAACAACAACAAAAACAUAACAAAACAAAAAACCUCAAAACUAAACCAAAAACAACGAAUGCCAAACAAUACUCAAAGAACUAUCAAAUUAUUCCCUGGGCCCCUGAAUCAGAUGGAGCUGAAUCAUUCUGGCUGCUGAGUGAAGGGUGUUGGAAAAAGUGCCAUUGUGUAAGUUAAGGAAAGGGUCAGAGAACCGAAAAGACUGCAGCUGUAUGAAAGGGCUUCUGUGCUGGGAUUCUCCUUGUAAGCUAUCCAAAGGCACAAAUCAAGAACCGCAACCUUGGAGAUAUGACAAAUGAACACAAUUCUGGUUUUUGGUUUUAUUUUAAAGUGAAAUUCCACUGUUUCCCAAGAAUUUGCACUUGAAGCUUUACAUAUUUUUCAUGUCAGCUCCCUUCCUUGCCACCUUUGUUUUCCAGCCUGCCUCCCCUUAACAGCUGGACACAUCACCGUUCCAUUUUUCUAUUGGUUGUGACUGAAGUAGCUUGAGGUCAAUUAUUUCCCCAGCAAUUGACAAAGAAUCUUGAUGAAGAGGAAAGUGACAUUGUCCCUUGAACAACACUGCUCCCUCCUCCCCCUGCCCUCCUGGCUGAGAGGAGAGAGCAGGGCGGACUUUCCUUUUGCAAGGAGCCCAGCAGGGCGGUGGCGGUGGGGUCUGUGGAAGUGCGUGGGUAACAUAUGGUAAGUGGAGAAAAUAUUUAUAUUCAUGGUGAAAGAGCAGGAGAAGAUCCAAAGAAGGUCAUUCCGCAGAGAUUUCAAGCAAGAGACACUGACUUGAUAUUGUGUCUUUGACCUGGAUACAACAGAGAAUUUAAAGAAAGAGUUUUCUUUUGUUGCUUUCCUGCCACCGUUACUCCCAACAAUCCGAAUUAUUGGCAAUUUAAAAAAGAAAAGAUUCCUCCCACUAAACUUGAUAAAAGUAUCACACUGGCCCUUGCCCGGCCCGGGCCAGGCUGCCACGCCUUCUCCCCUCCCGCUGCGCCUGGCCCCCCAAAUCCAGAAUGCGGAGCCUGUGUCUGAGCCUGUGUCUUGGGCCUGCGGGCGGUGUUUGUUGUGACUGGGCGGCUAGGUGAGACGGAGCGCACGGGCAGAGUGGGCAUUUGGGACGACUGGUUCUUGGGGGAGGAUAUAAAUAAUGAAUCGGUGUUAGAUUACUUUCUGAUGAGACACAUGAAACCUCCAGUGCUUUCAGCAGGCAUUUUGCAUCACAGCUUCCUAAGAAACGUAAAAGGCCCUCUUUCGGCCCCCCAGUGGCAAACUUCGUAACUAUCGCUCAGUUCAAAUGCGUGCGGGGCUGCGGGACAGAGGCGUCCUCGCCUACCCUCGGACCGACCCACAAGCGGUGGGGCGGACAGACACGUGCGCGUCUGGUCGCCCGGACAAGCAUCUGCUUGCGUCCCCUCUCUCGCGCACGGUGGCAGCCCCGCACCAAGACCCGCUGAGGAAACGAAGGGUAGGGUCUUUUCCCAUCUUGCCGUCGAAAGUUUACCCCCUUUCCCGGGUGUGCAGGAAGAGAUGCGCGAGGGUAGGAAGGUGCGAAACUGGGGUUCUGCCAGAGACCCACCGCGGCUCUAUAUUCACUCUCGUUUGAAAACUGCCAGCGUUCCACUCCCUCUGGAUUCCAGUUCCCGAGGGGGAGGUAGUGAGAUGGGAUACAGGUGCGUCUGCUUCCUCCCUUGGGAGGAGUUCUCCCACUUUGAAACCCCUCGCGGAGCAGCCCAUAACCGAGUGGCCUGCUGCACAGAGGCCAUGCUUAAUGGAUUCUUGCAGAUAAAAGGGCCUGGCUACCUUUCUUUCCUAUAAUGGCCCCUGAGGCUAACGUCUUAAAGAGGAAACAAAGGGAUUGUUUUACAGCACACAAGGGGGGUGGGGGGAGGAACAGGGAGAGGAGGAGGAGGAAGGGGCACUGGAUACGCGGAGGGAGGGGAGUGGCCCCCCGCUUCUUAACCCUUCACCUCCUGCGACCGCCCAGGUCUCCCGAGCUCCGCACCCUCAUCCAGGACCCGAAACAGCGGGGAGGAGGCGACAGUGCCUGGAGGGCCCCGCCGUGUGACUCGACCUCCAACUCCUCGCCUCCUUCCUCGUCUUUUUAAAGAACUUCUGAAAGGGAGAAUGGAAAAGAUCAAGGGACCCAUGUCUCGAGCUGCAGUUUGAAAGUCAGUCCUAGAGGGGUCGUCUCUCGCGAGGCCCGGGUGCCCACACAGGAUCGACGACUGGCAGUGCCACCUGGGCCCGGACUCUGGGACUGCGGGAGGCGGGCGCGCCUGGGGCCAGGACCCAGGCGUGCGCUGAGGGCACCCGGUGAAGGCCGGGGAAAGUGGGGCAGCUCUGAAAUGCGGCCUGCACGUCGCCCUGGGAGUCGUUCCCGGGCCCCUUUGCAGACACAGCCUUCAGGUGUGAGUCGAGUGUGCGCCGGCCAGGGGCGUCUCUUACAGGAAGUUUAUAUUUGCCAACUGGGCUGGUGUCGGGGGCGGGGUAGGGGGUGGGCGGCGGGAGAGAGACGCAGUGGCUUCUGCUUUCUGGCUUUUCUGUUCUGGCUCCAGGAAAAGAUCAAAACAAUAGUUAAAUAGCAAUUGAAGACAAGUGAUGUAAGAAAUAAACAACUCGACAACAAAAAUGCCCA
Long non-coding RNA from Piliocolobus tephrosceles (Ugandan red Colobus), 3103 nucleotides. Lineage: Eukaryota; Metazoa; Chordata; Mammalia; Primates; Cercopithecidae. The record is from Ensembl.